RNAcentral lists this ribosomal RNA (222 nucleotides) under uncultured bacterium. Its description in RNAcentral is "partial 16S ribosomal RNA". It matches the Rfam family "Bacterial small subunit ribosomal RNA", at positions 328 to 539 of the family's 1533-position model. The record is from RNAcentral.
ACGCUCGACACCUACGGGGGCAGCAGUAGGGAAUCUUCCACAAUGGACGCAAGUCUGAUGGAGCAACGCCGCGUGAGUGAAGAAGGUCUUCGGAUCGUAAAACUCUGUUGUUAGAGAAGAACACGAGUGAGAGUAACUGUUCAUUCGAUGACGGUAUCUAACCAGCAAGUCACGGCUAACUACGUGCCAGCAGCCNCGGUAAUCUGAGCGGGCUGGCAAGGC